This is a small nuclear RNA of Neogale vison (American mink), 139 nucleotides long. Its record names the gene U4. It matches the Rfam family "U4 spliceosomal RNA". Rfam says of the family: U4 small nuclear RNA (U4 snRNA) is a component of the major U2-dependent spliceosome. The structure of U4 snRNA from yeast and human has been reported. Lineage: Eukaryota; Metazoa; Chordata; Mammalia; Carnivora; Mustelidae. The record is from Ensembl.
AGCUUUGCGCAGUGGCAGUAUCGUAGCCAAUGAGGUUUAUCCGAGGCGCGAUUAUUGCUAAUUAAAUUCUGCUGUAUAGACAGCUACUACUUUAGAACCUAGCCCUGGAAGUAAAUCAACUUUUGGGGGAAGAAAGCUU